This 158-nucleotide ribosomal RNA is filed under the name Lunulospora curvula. RNAcentral's name for it is "5.8S ribosomal RNA". It matches the Rfam family "5.8S ribosomal RNA". Rfam says of the family: 5.8S ribosomal RNA (5.8S rRNA) is a component of the large subunit of the eukaryotic ribosome. It is transcribed by RNA polymerase I as part of the 45S precursor that also contains 18S and 28S rRNA. The record is from RNAcentral. Lineage: Eukaryota; Fungi; Ascomycota.
AAAACUUUCAACAACGGAUCUCUUGGCUCUGGCAUCGAUGAAGAACGCAGCGAAAUGCGAUAAGUAAUGUGAAUUGCAGAACUCAGCGAAUCAUCGAAUCUUUGAACGCACAUUGCGCCCGCCAGUAUUCUGGCGGGCAUGCCUGUCCGAGCGUCAUU